RNAcentral lists this ribosomal RNA (1013 nucleotides) under Lactobacillus sp. UN35. RNAcentral describes it as "bacterial SSU rRNA". It matches the Rfam family "Bacterial small subunit ribosomal RNA", at positions 481 to 1493 of the family's 1533-position model. Lineage: Bacteria; Bacillati; Bacillota; Bacilli; Lactobacillales; Lactobacillaceae. The record is from RNAcentral.
AACCAGAAAGUCACGGCUAACUACGUGCCAGCAGCCGCGGUAAUACGUAGGUGGCAAGCGUUAUCCGGAUUUAUUGGGCGUAAAGAGAGUGCAGGCGGUUUUCUAAGUCUGAUGUGAAAGCCUUCGGCUUAACCGGAGAAGUGCAUCGGAAACUGGAUAACUUGAGUGCAGAAGAGGGUAGUGGAACUCCAUGUGUAGCGGUGNAAUGCGUAGAUAUAUGGAAGAACACCAGUGGCGAAGGCGGCUACCUGGUCUGCAACUGACGCUGAGACUCGAAAGCAUGGGUAGCGAACAGGAUUAGAUACCCUGGUAGUCCAUGCCGUAAACGAUGAGUGCUAGGUGUUGGAGGGUUUCCGCCCUUCAGUGCCGGAGCUAACGCAUUAAGCACUCCGCCUGGGGAGUACGACCGCAAGGUUGAAACUCAAAGGAAUUGACGGGGGCCCGCACAAGCGGUGGAGCAUGUGGUUUAAUUCGAAGCUACGCGAAGAACCUUACCAGGUCUUGACAUCUUGCGCCAACCCUAGAGAUAGGGCGUUUCCUUCGGGAACGCAAUGACAGGUGGUGCAUGGUCGUCGUCAGCUCGUGUCGUGAGAUGUUGGGUUAAGUCCCGCAACGAGCGCAACCCUUGUUACUAGUUGCCAGCAUUAAGUUGGGCACUCUAGUGAGACUGCCGGUGACAAACCGGAGGAAGGUGGGGACGACGUCAGAUCAUCAUGCCCCUUAUGACCUGGGCUACACACGUGCUACAAUGGACGGUACAACGAGUCGCGAACUCGCGAGGGCAAGCAAAUCUCUUAAAACCGUUCUCAGUUCGGACUGCAGGCUGCAACUCGCCUGCACGAAGUCGGAAUCGCUAGUAAUCGCGGAUCAGCAUGCCGCGGUGAAUACGUUCCCGGGCCUUGUACACACCGCCCGUCACACCAUGAGAGUUUGUAACACCCAAAGNCGGUGGGGUANCCUUUUAGGAGCCAGCCGNNUAAGGUGGGACAGAUGAUUAGGGNGAAGUCGUAACA